CCUUGCGCGACCUUCUUCAUGCAGUCGAGCGAAUGGAUUAAGAAGCUUGCUCUUAUGAAGUUAGCGGCGGACGGGUGAGUAACACGUGGGUAACCUGCCCAUAAGACUGGGAUAACUCCGGGAAACCGGGGCUAAUACCGGAUAAUAUUUUGAACUGCAUGGUUCGAAAUUGAAAGGCGGCUUCGGCUGUCACUUAUGGAUGGACCCGCGUCGCAUUAGCUAGUUGGUGAGGUAACGGCUCACCAAGGCAACGAUGCGUAGCCGACCUGAGAGGGUGAUCGGCCACACUGGGACUGAGACACGGCCCAGACUCCUACGGGAGGCAGCAGUAGGGAAUCUUCCGCAAUGGACGAAAGUCUGACGGAGCAACGCCGCGUGAGUGAUGAAGGCUUUCGGGUCGUAAAACUCUGUUGUUAGGGAAGAACAAGUGCUAGUUGAAUAAGCUGGCACCUUGACGGUACCUAACCAGAAAGCCACGGCUAACUACGUGCCAGAGUC
RNAcentral lists this ribosomal RNA (498 nucleotides) under Bacillus sp. BS25. Its description in RNAcentral is "bacterial SSU rRNA". It matches the Rfam family "Bacterial small subunit ribosomal RNA", at positions 36 to 515 of the family's 1533-position model. Lineage: Bacteria; Bacillati; Bacillota; Bacilli; Caryophanales; Bacillaceae. The record is from RNAcentral.